CGGCCGCAAGGCUGAAACUCAAAGGAAAUGACGGGGGCCCGCACAAGCGGUGGAGCAUGUGGUUUAAUUCGAAGCAACGCGGAGAACCUUACCAGGUCUUGACAUCCUUUGACAACCCUAGAGAUAGGGCUUCUUCUUUGGGAGCAGAGUUACAGGUGGUGCAUGGUUGUCGUCAGCUCGUGUCGUGAGAUGUUGGGUUAAGUCCCGCAACGAGCGCAACCCUUGAUCUUAGUUGCCAUCAUUUAGUUGGGCACUCUAAGGUGACUCCCGGUGACAAACCGGAGGAAGGUGGGGAUGACGUCAAAUCAUCAUGCCCCUUAUGACCUGGGCCACACACGUGCUACAAUGGACGGUACAAAGAGCUGCAAGACCGCGA
This 376-nucleotide ribosomal RNA is filed under the name Bacillus cereus. Its description in RNAcentral is "bacterial SSU rRNA". It matches the Rfam family "Bacterial small subunit ribosomal RNA", at positions 883 to 1260 of the family's 1533-position model. Lineage: Bacteria; Bacillati; Bacillota; Bacilli; Caryophanales; Bacillaceae. The record is from RNAcentral.